RNAcentral lists this ribosomal RNA (492 nucleotides) under uncultured bacterium. RNAcentral's name for it is "partial 16S ribosomal RNA". It matches the Rfam family "Bacterial small subunit ribosomal RNA", at positions 29 to 507 of the family's 1533-position model. The record is from RNAcentral.
AGUGAACGCUGGCGGUAGGCCUAACACAUGCAAGUCGAACGGCAGCACAGUAAGAGCUUGCUCUUACGGGUGGCGAGUGGCGGACGGGUGAGGAAUACAUCGGAAUCUACUUUUUCGUAGGGGAUAACGUAGGGAAACUUACGCUAAUACCGCAUACGACCUACGGGUGAAAGCAGGGGAUCUUCGGACCUUGCGCGAUUGAAUGAGCCGAUGUCGGAUUAGCUAGUUGGCGGGGUAAAGGCCCACCAAGGCGACGAUCCGUAGCUGGUCUGAGAGGAUGAUCGGCGACACUGGAACUGAGACAAGGUCCAGACUCCUAAGGGACGCAGCAGUCGGGAAUAUUGGACAUCAGGCGCAAGUCUGAUCCAGCCAUACCGCGUGGGUGACGGAGGCCUUCGGGUUGUGAAGCCCUUUUGUUGGGAAAGAAAAGCAGCAGGUUAAUACCCCGCUGUUCUGACGGUACCCGGAGAAUAAGCACCGGCUAACUUCGUG